This 253-nucleotide ribosomal RNA is filed under the name uncultured bacterium. Its description in RNAcentral is "partial 16S ribosomal RNA". It matches the Rfam family "Bacterial small subunit ribosomal RNA", at positions 524 to 776 of the family's 1533-position model. The record is from RNAcentral.
UACGGAGAGUGCAAACGUUGCUCGGAAUCAUUGGGCGUAAAGCGCACGUAGGUGGCCUGUUAAGUCGGGUGUGAAAUCCCUGGGCUCAACCCAGGAAGUGCACUCGAAACUGGCAGGCUUGAGUACUGAAGAGGGUCGCGGAAUUCCCGGUGUAGAGGUGAAAUUCGUAGAUAUCGGGAGGAACACCAGUGGCGAAGGCGGCGACCUGGGCAGAUACUGACACUGAGGUGCGAAAGCGUGGGGAGCAAACAGG